Molecule: ribosomal RNA, 61 nt
Filed under: Pseudomonas brassicacearum
Lineage: Bacteria; Pseudomonadati; Pseudomonadota; Gammaproteobacteria; Pseudomonadales; Pseudomonadaceae
Description: partial 23S ribosomal RNA
Source: RNAcentral
GGCGUUGAGCUAACCUGUACUAAUUGCCCGUGAGGCUUGACCAUAUAACACCCAAGCAAUU